Molecule: ribosomal RNA, 1698 nt
Filed under: Triticum aestivum (bread wheat)
Lineage: Eukaryota; Viridiplantae; Streptophyta; Magnoliopsida; Poales; Poaceae
Description: partial small subunit ribosomal RNA
Source: RNAcentral
AUGGGUGACUCGCAGAUCGCCGCCGACGCCGGAAGCGACCGCCUGAGCAACCUCCGCGACGGCGUACUCGGUCACAUCCUCUCCUUCCUCGAAACCAGGGAGGCCGCUCGCGCCGCGACGCUCUCGUCGCGGUGGCGCCACGUCAUGGCCAGCGUCCACACCGUCUCCAUGUCCAUGGAGCCGCUGGGACGGCCCGUCUUGGGCUACGGCUACGAUGGCCGGUACGACCGCAACAAGGCGCGGUUCAUCGCCGACGUCACCGCCGCCCUCUUCUCCCGCAACAGUCGCCCGUCCCCCGCCGCCGCCUCGGCGCCCCUGCGCGCGCUCCGCGUAUCCAUGGAAAGAUACUGCCCCGAAGACGGGUCCAAGGUGGACCAGUGGGUCUCCUACGCCCUGUGGCAUGCCGCCCCAGAGUUCGGGCUCGACCUCCGCCUUGGCCGCGGCCCCAUCUGCAGUGGCCCCUGCAGCCUCCACCCCUCCCAUGACGAUGUCGCCGCCGAUGGCCUUGUUGGGAAUCAAGCCGUCGCCGGGAAUCCUCCCAAGUCUGACCCCGACGACAACCGUUCCCUCCGCGCGCACCCCAAAGACGAUGUCCCGUCCAGCGACGAUGAGGAGACGGCAGCUCGAUCGUGGAAUCCGCCGUCUGGAGAGUUCACCUACACCGUCCCGAGGGGACUCUUCUCUUGCGCCGCGCUGCGAUCGCUCCGUCUAGGCUACUGCAGGCUCUCCCCGCCGGCAGCCAUCAGCCUGCCAGCUCUCGAGGCUCUGCACCUCACCCACAUCCUCGAAGACGAGGAGGAGCAUGUGCAGAGGCUGAUCUCCGGCUGUCCGCGCCUGGCCGACCUGACGCUCGAGGCUUGUGGCACGGUGACCGCGGUCUCCCUCCUCGACAACACACACCUCCGCAGGCUCGCCCUCCGGUGCUGCCACAACCUAUCCAGCCUUGCCGUCGACACGCCGGAUCUCCACUCCUUCGAGUACCGUGGCGCCGUCCCCGACACCUCGAUCCUCACCGUGGGCGGCCUUCCGUCCGUCACGUCGUGCAAGGUCGACAUCUGCACGAUCUACCCCCUCGAGGAGGCGGGGGAGCUCGUCAAGCUCGGUUCGUUCCUGCAUCAGCUGGCCUCGACCGCGAAACACCUCCAGUUAUGCUCCGCUCGCAUGGGCUCGUGGUUCGCGGAUCUCCCCGUGCUCCCCGCCCUUCGCCACCUCGAGUUGGCCGGAAGCGUGCCGCGCAACGACGACCCCGCCGUCGUCAUCGCCGCGACGAGCAGCAUCCUCCGGCGAACCCCGAACCUGGAGCUACUGACCCUUUUCUUUGAAGAAGAAGCGCCCCGUGAAACGGAGUGGCAGUGGCACUCAGGACUCGAUCACCACGCCUACGUCGGCCGCCGUAGCGAGGGGGAGCUCCUUGACGCGCACCGUCUCCACUACUGCGAGUACGACAGCCUCGACUGCGCGUUGGCACCCGCGAUGGUGCCGCCAUGCCUGGGGAGCCGGGUGAGGAAGAUCGAGCUGGUGCAUUACCAAGGCGGCAGGGCGCAAAGGACGUUGGCCAGAUUCUUGCUCCGCAACGCUGCCGUUCUUGAGAAUCUCUAUUGCGGGUUCCCGGCGGGGCCGCAUUGGGUUCAAACGGAGUUGAUGCGCGAGAUGGAAGGGUGGGUGGUCAGUGAGCUAACCAGCACAGAGUUCCGUUGA